Molecule: long non-coding RNA, 320 nt
Organism: Armigeres subalbatus
Lineage: Eukaryota; Metazoa; Arthropoda; Insecta; Diptera; Culicidae
Exons: 3
Source: RefSeq, a predicted model, not a curated record
AAACACGGCAGAUUUAGAAAGUGAGGCAGUUAAAUUUAAUAUUCUACGGUGAAUUUAUUAUUACUAUAGCGAUUUAGUGAAUUAUUACACUCCAGGCAUCGUUUUAAUCCAGUAUUAGGAGUCAAAGCAUAAAAUUAUAUACGGACACUUAACCUUAAAACCUAUUGGAACCUAUGAACUAAAGUGUACGGAUAUAUAGUACGUGCGAAGUGCAGAUCUACAUAAGAAUCGUUCAGUAUCGUAGGAACAAUUCAUCAGAUUCGACAUAGACAUACUAGACUGGUUCGUGGACCGACGUAGAUUAGACACACAAACGGGAC